Molecule: ribosomal RNA, 614 nt
Filed under: uncultured archaeon
Lineage: Archaea
Description: bacterial SSU rRNA
Rfam family: Archaeal small subunit ribosomal RNA
Source: RNAcentral
AGCGUCUCCAAGCUAUGGAAGAGACGCGGCACACAGCUCAGUAACACGUGGCUAACCUGCCCUUGGGACAAGGACAACUCCGGGAAACUGGGGCUAAUCCCUGAUAAGUGAGAACUUCUGGAAUGAAUUCUCGCUCAAAGGACGUCUAGACCAUGCUUCUAGGCGUCGCCCAAGGAGGGGGCCGCGACCGAUCAGGUUGUUGGUGAGGUAACGGCUCACCAAGCCUUUAACCGGUACGGGCCGUGAGAGCGGAAGCCCGGAGAUGGGCACUGAGACAAGGGCCCAGGCCCUACGGGGCGCAGCAGUCGCGAAAACUCCGCAAUACACGAAAGUGUGACGGGGCCAUCCCGAGUGCCAUCCGCUGAGGAUGGCUUUUCCCCAGUGUAUAAAGCUGGGGGAAUAAGGAGAGGGCAAGCCUGGUGUCAGCCGCCGCGGUAAUACCAGCUCUCCGAGUGGUGGGGAUGCUUAUUGGGCCUAAAGCAUUCGUAGCCUGCUUGGCAAGUCCUCCGUUAAAUCCAACGAUUCGAUCGUUGGGCUGCGGGGGAUACUGUCCGGCUAGGGGGCGGGAGAGGCCGACGGUAUCCUCGGGGUAGGGGUGAAAUCCUAUAAUCCCG